GACGAACGCUGGCGGCGUGCCUAAUACAUGCAAGUAGAACGCUGAAGGAGGAGCUUGCUCUUCUGGAUGAGUUGCGAACGGGUGAGUAACGCGUAGGUAACCUGCCUGGUAGCGGGGGAUAACUAUUGGAAACGAUAGCUAAUACCGCAUAAGAGUAGAUGUUGCUUGACAUUUACUUAAAAGGUGCAAUUGCAUCACUACCAGAUGGACCUGCGUUGUAUUAGCUAGUUGGUGGGGUAACGGCUUACCAAGGCGACGAUACAUAGCCGACCUGGGAUGGGGAUCGGCCACACUGGGACUGAGACACGGCCCAGACUCCUUCGGGAGGCAGCAGUAGGGCAUCUUCGGCGAUGGACGGAAGUCUGACCGAGCAACGCCGCGUGAGUGAAGAAGGUUUUCGGCUCGUAAAGCUCUGUUGUAAGAGAAGAACGAGUGUGAGAGUGGAAAGUUCACACUGUGACGGUAUCUUACCAGAAAGAGACGGCUAACUACGUG
Molecule: ribosomal RNA, 495 nt
Filed under: uncultured bacterium
Lineage: Bacteria
Description: partial 16S ribosomal RNA
Rfam family: Bacterial small subunit ribosomal RNA
Source: RNAcentral